This 75-nucleotide transfer RNA is filed under the name Rhizobium bangladeshense. RNAcentral describes it as "tRNA-Trp". It matches the Rfam family "tRNA". Rfam says of the family: Transfer RNA (tRNA) molecules are approximately 80 nucleotides in length. The record is from RNAcentral. Lineage: Bacteria; Pseudomonadati; Pseudomonadota; Alphaproteobacteria; Hyphomicrobiales; Rhizobiaceae.
GAUGGGUGUAGCUCAGUGGUAGAGCAGCGGUCUCCAAAACCGCCAGCGCAGGUUCGAUUCCUGCCAUCUUUGCCA